CAAUAGCGUAUAUUAUUGAUGUUGCAGUUGAAACGUUCGUAGUCGAACUUUACCCGCUUAAGUAUUGCGCUUUCGAUGAAGGUGUAUUACUCUCAGCGGGGAGUGUGCAAAGUUGUGGGUGUUACAUCUGCAGCCUCUUGCACCUUACUUUGAGUGAAUCGGCGUGUUCCACGCAGGCGUGUGCCUUGAACGAUUUACCAUAGCAUAACCAGAAUGUGGGGGUGUUUUCUUGUUAGUUCGGAAACACUUUCGAAACAGAAAAGAACGGUUGAGGGCAUUCGUAUUCAACUGCUAGAGGUGAAAUUCUUUGAUUAGUUGAGGACGAACCAUUGCGAAAGCAUCUGCCAAGGACGUUUCUUUUGA
Molecule: ribosomal RNA, 363 nt
Filed under: uncultured eukaryote
Lineage: Eukaryota
Description: partial 18S ribosomal RNA
Rfam family: Eukaryotic small subunit ribosomal RNA
Source: RNAcentral